This 3736-nucleotide long non-coding RNA is filed under the name Gallus gallus (chicken). The record is from RNAcentral. Lineage: Eukaryota; Metazoa; Chordata; Aves; Galliformes; Phasianidae.
GGAAGCUAACAUAAUGGUGAAAAUCUUUUGCCAACUAACUCAGUCACUACAAAUUUUAUUUCUGCAUUCCUUUCUGAAGUUCAAAUAGCAUGUUACAAUGACAUUAUAGUAAAUAUGGCCAGACAGGUUGUGAGGUAUAGUCCUCUGUUUUCCUCGCUAUUAAAGAAAUAAAAUACCUGUUACAGAUCUCUUCUGUAUAAAAAUACUGUAAGUCUUUCUUUCUUCUUGUUUGCUGUAUAGAUCAAAUACACAGCUUUUAUGUCCUUGGGUUUUUCAUGUUAUUCAGUCACUCAAUAUUCAAAUGGCUCUAGGUUUUAGUAUCAUUGUUUUUUACUUGGAAGGAUUUUUUAACAUAUUUUUUUUCUUUUGAAAUUUACUAUCUGCAUUAACAGUCAGUUAAGAGCACCCACCCUUCAGGAUUAACAGAUAGAAAACAAGUUCGCUCCUAUUUUUAAGGCAUUUAUACUCAGUAUUUGAGUGUCUCAGUGGGUUUGAAAUUUCAACCAUUAUGUUUCCAAAACUGCUGCAAAGAACUCCUUUAAACCGUGCCGUUUAUCAGCCAUCGCUUUUGCACUUUGAUGCGACUUUUCUUUUUUUUCUGUCCUCAGCAACAUCAUUUUGGUACCUUACACAGGAACAGGGCUGUUCUUCGUAUGAGUUUCUAGAGUUUUGAUACUGCUAACAAUCUUCUUUUGAGGCCCCACAACUGUAACACCAACUUUCUUCAUGUCAUCAGUGGAAAUCUUGGCUAUUGUAUCACAGGAGCUGUACUCCACACCCGUGAAAAUGCCUUUGCACUGUCCUGUUCGAAAACCAUUGAGCCAAUCACCUGCCGUGCGGAACGCUGAAAUGUCAAUGUUACUUUGGUCCAGGAGAAGAUUUGAUGGCCUUGCUGCCGCAUUGGUGAUUAUUUUCAGACUGCUGGGAUUACGGAUCAGCUUAUCCAGGAUGCUGACAAUCUGCUCAAACUUGGGUCUGUUGUUUCUGUCUUUCUGCCAGCAGUCCAGCAUCAGCUGAUACAAGGCAGCUGGGCAGUCCAUAGGAGGUGGCAAGCGAUACCCUUCAUCAACGGCUUUAAUUACGUCCUGGUUGGACAUCUCCCAGUACGGCCUUUCUCCAUAAGACAUCACCUCCCAGAGGACAAUCCCAUAGCUCCACGCAUCACUGGCUGAUGUGAACUUCCGGUAUGCAAUGGCUUCUGGUGACGUCCAUCGGAUGGGAAUCUUGCCCCCCCUUGUUGUGUAAGCAGCUUCUGGGUCAUCUUCCAAUACACGAGAAAGACCAAAAUCUGAGACUUUGCACACCAAGUUACUAUUGAUGAGUAUAUUACGAGCAGCUAGAUCUCGGUGGACAUAACCCAUAUCUGACAAAUAUUUCAUGCCAGAUGCGAUCCCACGAAGCAUGCCUACUAGCUGAAUGACUGUGAACUGGGCAUCAUGUUUCCGUAGGAAGCUGUCCAAGGAACCGUUUUCCAUGUAUUCAGUAACAAUCAUAACUGGUUUACUUUUAGUCACAACGCCCUCCAGUCGGAUGAUGUUGGGGUGGUCAAACUGCCCCAUGAUGCUUGCUUCUCCCAGGAAAUCCCUUCUCUGUUUUUCUGUGUAGCCAGCUUUCAGAGUUUUGAUGGCCACUGAAAUUUCCUUUUUAGAAGGCAGCUUCAGGCGCCCACUGCACACUUCUCCAAAUUCCCCUGCUCCAACAACUUUAUCAAUUGAUAUAUUAGAAGCAUCUAGUUCCUUGGCAAAUUCAUGUACAGCUUGAUUGGGAUCUUCGUACGUAUGUGGAUCUACAUAAGUUCUCAGGCCUGGGAGUUUUAAGUGGCCAUUCCCAAAAUGUAGUCUUUUCUCAUCGGUACCAUGUUUAGACUUCUUGUAUCCGCAGAAUCUCCCAAUCAAGACGUACACAACAACCGUGAGGAGAAUGAUGGCAACUGCAGCUGAAAUGGCAAUCAUAACGACCUGGCUAUUUUCACUGGAAAUGGAGAAUGAAUCUGGACUGGUUUCAAAUUCAAACUUGCGGCUGCUUGUCCCAUAUCCAGCUGCAGUUCGGGCUCGAAUUUGGAAGACGUAGGUGGUAUCAGGUUUGAGGCCGCUGAUAGUAACGUUAGUGCUUUUGGCUCUCAGAAUAGUAUAGCUUGUCUCUUGUUCCUUUUCGUAGUAUUUGACCUCGUAGUCCAAGAUGAUUCCAUUUGGGUGCUCAGGCUCCUGCCAAGACAGAGACACGCUGUUCCUGGAUGUCCGGUCUUUCCUUAUCACUGUGAUGGGGGAUGGCGCAGCCUGAUUAGUCGUGAUGCUGACAGCAGCAAAUUGUCUCGAAAGUGUACUCAAGUCAGAUACCCCGUUGACUGCAUCAAUCUCAAAAGUGUAAUUGGUAUGUGCCAAAAGGUCCACUACUGUCACUGUGGUGUUGGUGAGGCCAGUCUGACGGGGUAAGAACCGUACGUUGUCACUGCAAGGCUCACAUAUCUUGCUGCUUCCUCCACAUUUUUUGCAAAUGAUGUUGAAAGUGACAUCUUUUCGACCUCCUGUGUCAAGAGGCCAGCUCCAGUCCAGAAUAACAGAUGUCUCAUUGAUGUUAGAAAUAACAUUUCUUGGAGCAGAUGGUGGUCUGGUGCAAGCCAUGGAUGGAGGGUCUUUCUCAGAGCGAAAGUAAUUCUUUUCACACCUGCAGUUCAGAGAUGCAUCUUCAUAGGUAGAGCUGUGAGGUGGGCAUUUGGCACACUUCACAUUGCCAGCAGAAGCUUUAUAGAACCCAGGUCGACAAGCUUGGCACGCAAAGCCUCUCUCUUCAUAGCCAGCAUUACACAAGCACUUCCCUAUGGGCACUAGCCAUUCUCCUUCCGUGCUGCAGUACAUCUUGGGUGGCUCUUCCUCCUUGGAAUGAUUGACACAAGAACCCCGCACCUCCACCAGGGACUGGGAGUCCAUAGGAACUGUAUCUGGAAACAUGGCGAGGUUCUUGACAGUGAAAGGGCACUUCUUGAAGUACACUCGCACCGAGACUAAGGCAACACAUGCACCUACAUCUUGGAAAGCCAAGUAAAAGCCCUUCUUACUAACAGGUCCCACCUCGCGGACUUCGGUAUUCAGCUUGAGAAUCCGGUCCCCAAGAUCCAUCUGGGUGAAGCUCUCAUCAGCCGCAAUGGUGUCAAUCUUUGUAAAUUGGUGCUCUCUGAACUUUGCCAAAUGGUCAUCAUCGGAUUCCAUGUAAUACAGAUUGAAAGUCUCUUUGCAAGUGCCCAGAACUAGAGGGAUACUAUUGCAGUCCCUCAAGGUAAACUUGAGCUCCACAUAUAUCUUCUGCGCUGAAUUGCGUGGAAUCCAGUUUGUUCGCAGCCAAUUGUUUUGACUGUGAUCCAUAACAUUGCACACUUGGUAAGUUCUGAUUGGAGUAUAAUGCUCAUCAACACCACUAAUCUCUUCCCACCCAUGUGAUGGGUAGGAGAUCCAGCCCAGCUCCCCUUGAAUUGUUUUUGAAUCCAGCAGAUUAACUUCGUUGCCGGGGCGGGCGCUCAGACGCCCGGCGGAGCCGAGGGCAGCGCAGAGCAGCAGCAGCGGCAGGCGGCGGCGGUCCAUGUCGGCGGGGCAGCAGCGCGCGAGCAGAGCCGCAUGUCUCCGCGCCGCAUGCCACCGCUCCGCGCCCGCUCCGCUCCGCGCCGCGCCGCCGGGACCAUGCCCCGCGCCCGCCCGCCCGCGCCCGCCUUCGCGCGGCGCCCGGCAGGGGCCGCCCCCGCCCG